RNAcentral lists this long non-coding RNA (840 nucleotides) under Equus caballus (horse). RNAcentral describes it as "lncRNA (ENSECAG00000049765.1)". The record is from RNAcentral. Lineage: Eukaryota; Metazoa; Chordata; Mammalia; Perissodactyla; Equidae.
GGCCCGCGGCUCGGCUCUGCCAGUUCCUGCGCCACGGCUGGCCUGGGGGCGAGGUGGCCCAAAGGUGGAGCGCAGAAAGAAAGGAAACUUCUCUUCCAUCUACCCAGGAUGCAGCUUGGUCCCCUCCACGACCAGGGGGCGGCAACGGGGUCGGCGCUGAGUGCACAGAGGUGAUUGCAGCCUCAUGUUAAGUGUAACCAUCUGCACAGUGAGCUCGGGGCAGGAGGCAUCGUGGAGACGGCGGCUGACUUAGCCUCUCGAGCUGACAAAGAUCGACUUCGGGAGAGGUGGUGAUGAAUCAUAAACGCUGCCCAGCAGGGGAGUCAGAAGAAUUGCAUUGUCCAAGGAGAGCCUUUCUUUGUGUCUCUAAUAUUUAAGCCGAUGGCUUUAAGAGAAAUUUAUGAUCAGCCAUGAUUGGAGCUACUACCCAUGGACAUCUGUUAGACAGGCAGUAGAUGGUUUGCUAAUAGAAAUAUUUAUAAAUUGAGCUAUAUUAAAUUGUGUCUUGAGAAGGAACCAGCUUUAAAGUUUUUUCCUGAUUUUCUUGGCCGCGUUCUUUCACGGUUCUGAGGCACUGCAAUGGGGCUGGAUUCAAGACUCUUCAGUGACACUCAUGGGGAGUGACAGAGGUGCUGAGUGGCAGCUGUAAUCUCUCCAGUUUGAGAAAGUUGAGGAAGAAGGAAAUCGAUAGUUGGCCCAGAGUUUUCCAGUAACGUGAGAGAACUAUGGUCCUUCCUGGGGCCGAUUCUUCUUGAAAUGCUGGCCCUGCACGAACAGGAUUCGAGGGCCUGUCCUGGCUUUACCUGCUGGAACAUCGUGCUCUUCCUUUGUCAGAGAUAA